This is a long non-coding RNA of Dermochelys coriacea (leatherback sea turtle), 2628 nucleotides long. RefSeq lists it as uncharacterized. Lineage: Eukaryota; Metazoa; Chordata; Testudines; Dermochelyidae. The record is from RefSeq and is a predicted model, not a curated record. The transcript has 2 exons.
GAGCGAGGGAGGGCGGGAGGAGCAGCGCGCAUGCGCUGGAAAAUGCUUGGAACUGACAAUGGUUAAGUCCGUGCGAGCGAUUGAAAUUCACGGUUGAAACUAUGGGUUCCAUAACACAUGACAAAUCCAAAUGUUUCCUGCACAAUGCUUGCUGAUGAAGAAUGCAAUGAAGAAUCAUAGGCUUGGGACAGCCCACACUUUCACAAGCUUUGUAGAUUUGUCCAACCAAACCUUUUUUUGAACCGCACAUGUUUCUACCUCCAUCGGUUGUAAAGCACUUCAGUUGUUUUCAUUGCAGGUUGUACUGAGAGAGUGAUUUUUCAACUUCUUUGAAAAUCUCUUCACCUGUGAUUGUUCCAUACAUACUAUGCACAGAAGCUAGUUCUUCCGUAACUUCAAAACUACUGCCAAGCCCACGAAUAAACAACAGCAAUUGCGAAAUAUUGGAAACAUUGGUUGACUCGUCAAGUGCUAGGGAAAACCACUCAAACUUCUUAGCCUUUUCAUUCAGCUGGAAAAUUAUAUUACAGACAAUGUCCUCGAUUCUGCGAGCAACUGUGUUCACCGAAAGAUUAAUUGUCUUAAAUAAAUCUACUUUUUCUGGACACAUUUCUUCAGCUGCUUGAAUCAUACAUAUUUUAACUAGCUCGCCAUCAGUAAAUGAUUUUCCUCGUUUUGCUAGUAGGUGUGCCACUUGGAACCUGGCUCUUGUUGCAGCUUUGUUCUCUGUUUUCUUCUUCUUAAAUAUAAACUGUUGUGACGAUAAGCCACAUUUCAUGGAUUCUAAUUUAUCUGAACGUAGCUUUCCCCUAAAUUGAGAGUAGUUUGACAAGUGCUUGGUUUCAUAAUGUCUAUGAAUGUUGUAUUCUUUUAGCACUGCGAUAGUUUUGUUACAUAUUAAACACAAUACUUUACUACCUGAUUUGAUAAGGAAAUAGUCCACACUCCAUUGUUCUUUAAACACGCGACAUUCAGAAUCAACCUUACUCUUCUGUCCUUUUCUCAACAUAAUCGCCCCAAUAGCAAUGGACUUAAACACAAUGAAUAUAUGUUUGUCACUAGUCUGACAUGCGCUAAGACAAAAACCGAGGGAAACAACAACGAAUCAUCACACAUCCGGUUCCUUCUGCCGCUACUAACCUACCUACUGAGUGCUCAUCAGCUCUGCGACCCUGGCAGGAAUGCAGUGACAUCCUUAAGUUCCACCACCGAUCUGUGGUUUCCACUGCUGGCCCCUUGCCAGCCGGGGUCCCGCUGCUGGCCCCACCCAGUGCCCGCUGCUGGCCUGGGUGAAGAAACCCAGGCUGGCAGCGGACUGAGACCCUGGCUGGCAGGAGGCCGUGGCGGGAAAACCCAGGGGUCCCACUGCCUGAUGCAGUGUUGGUUGGGCAGGGGUCGGACAAAUCGAAGCCCACAGACUAUAGUUUGGAGACCCCUGCUCCACAACGAGUAUAAAUUUGCAGUUCUGAUCUCAAAAAUGAUAGCAAAAUACUUCUACACAUUAAACAAGACUGGGGAUAUCAAGAAGCAGUUUGUUAUCUUAGGUUAGAAUUUUAGACUCCAGCACAACUGACAAGUGUAGUUUCAUACCUGUGCAUGCAAUUUGUCAUGCACUCGUGACUUCUGCAACAUACUUGCUACUAGAUGCACAUUAACAGGAUGCAACUUUGUGCCAUCCAUACACAGUCUGUAGGGGCCAGUAGAUCUUUCUUCUGUCUGGGGAGUUUAAAUAUUUCCUCUAUUAGGGAGAUUCCAGAAAGUGUGUUUCUCCCUCUGAGAAUGGCAGCAUGAGCUAAGAGGAUUCAGAGCUGUCAAAAGAAGUUGAAUCUGCUUGUGCAGCUCAGUCGAAGGGAAGAAGAUAGUUGAUGUGUGGCACCAGUUUGCACAAUGACUAUUGUGGAUCUGGAGACUUCAUUUGGGCUGUAUAUAUGGAAAAUCCCCAUUUGCUGAGCAUAUCAGAUGGUUGGUCUAUAAUGUGCAGAUACCCCAAAACACUAUCAUAUCUUUUUUUAAGAGACGGCUGUUGUCGUGUCAGGAAAUGUUUAGACACUUAGACUCAAGAACCUCUGGAUUCCAACUCUCAGAAGAAACUGGGAUAUAUAAGGAUACAGGGUUCUCCUGGUUUCACUAAAAGAAUAUCAUAUAAGGUCUCAUGAAAACGUGGGUCAUACGGGUCCACUCUUAAUCCUUACAAGAUGGAUGGAGGAGUAUUUUAUUUUAUUUAAGGAGUUAUGUAUUUCUAUAUAAAUUAUGUUCUUAAAGCAUGUAAAGUGACAUGCCUCAGAAUGAUUUCACUAGAUAGAAAGCACAUGUGAAUGAAGUAUUCUAAGAUUUACAAUGGAGGCACAUUUAAAUACUGAAUCAAAUGCUAAUAGAAGGAUAUGAAAUCAAAUUGAAAGAUGCACACAGACAGAAACAAGCUGCUGGAGGCUUAUCCUGUUUCCAAACUAAAACAAGGAUUUGGAGAUUAUUACUAGGGGGUGAGGUUGAACUCCCAAUUAUUUCUUCAGUCUGUGAGGACAUGCUUCUGGCAGGCUUGUAAUUAUGAAAGGGGUAUCAACCAAACUAGGACUGUUGAUUAAUGGUAGUUAACCGACAUGAUUAACUCAAAAAAUUAAUCACGAUUAA